CCUACGGGAGGCAGCAGUGAGGAAUAUUGGUCAAUGGACGAGAGUCUGAACCAGCCAAGUAGCGUGAAGGAUGACUGCCCUAUGGGUUGUAAACUUCUUUUAUAUGAGAAUAAAAUGUUCCACGUGUGGGAUUUUGUAUGUACCAUAUGAAUAAGGAUCGGCUAACUCCGUGCCAGCAGCCGCGGUAAUACGGAGGAUCCGAGCGUUAUCCGGAUUUAUUGGGUUUAAAGGGAGCGUAGGUGGAUUGUUAAGUCAGUUGUGAAAGUUUGCGGCUGAACCGUAAAAUUGCAGUUGAAACUGGCAGUCUUGAGUACAGUAGAGGUGGGCGGAAUUCGUGGUGUAGCGGUGAAAUGCUUAGAUAUCACGAAGAACUCCGAUUGCGAAGGCAGUUCACUGGACUGUAACUGACACUGAGGCUCGAAAGUGUGGGUAUCAAACAGGAUUAGAUACCCGAGUAGUC
This 460-nucleotide ribosomal RNA is filed under the name uncultured bacterium. Its description in RNAcentral is "partial 16S ribosomal RNA". It matches the Rfam family "Bacterial small subunit ribosomal RNA", at positions 338 to 795 of the family's 1533-position model. The record is from RNAcentral.